Molecule: long non-coding RNA, 2587 nt
Organism: Episyrphus balteatus (marmalade hoverfly)
Lineage: Eukaryota; Metazoa; Arthropoda; Insecta; Diptera; Syrphidae
Exons: 8
Source: RefSeq, a predicted model, not a curated record
GUCGGGAUUUUUCGAAAUCUCACAAAAACUGCAUUAAAUCGAAAACCGUAAGGAUUUGGGAUAAACAAGUUACCAAAUUCUGAGAGUUCUAACGUUGGCCUAUCAGCAUAUUUCGUUUGAUCCAUUACUUUUGGGACACCCUGUAUGACUUUUUUCUCAAAAACUAGAAGACUAGUUUUCACUGUUCGAUAAGGAAUCAAUUGAGGAAGUUUUCUGUGACAACAUUCCAAUGAUUUUAAAUACUAUUCGUGCAAUGAACACCAAAAAUCCCACCUUUUGUGUGGAUCUAUAUAUACGUUUAUGGAGAAUCGAAGGACGAACUUAUCCCUUCCUUAAAAAAACUCUUAUCACAAUCACAUAAAGAGCUAGGCGGAACCGAUCUCUCAGAAUUUGAAAUAACAAAAACUUAUGUCAUCAAGGAAAUUUGCUCAGAAAGACCAAAUCAAUACGGUUCUGAUCUAGUAUCUCAUCUAUCAGACACAUUUAACACAUGUACUGAUAAAAAUGGCGACCAAGCUACGUCAUUGGCCUAAGAUUCCAUAGUAUCGCUGUGUGAAAGUCAUACUGUAAACAUUAUCUCAACUUGGAAGAAAGCUCUGAGUGGCUAGUUCCGUCAUGAAACACGGCCGCGCACAACAAAAAUUUUACUUCGCUUCUUUGGUCAGGUUCCAUUACUUCAAACACCAACUAUUGAAUAUGAAAAUCUCGUUGAAGAUGCUUUAGAUAACAUUUGGAAAACAAUCUGCACUUCGGACAAUCUAGAGAUAAUUCAAGAAGCCUUUAAAUCUUUGACACAGACUUCAAAUAUGUAUCAAGUGAGUAUAACCAAGAGACUGGUCGCGAAAUCAUAGAUUUGCAAAACGAAACAAUUCCUGGUGAUUGUUGGAUUCAAGUGUUACAAAGAGUUCGACCUGAAUGUACGUCUGCUGUAGCUGAUCUACUUUCGCAUUAUAUUUACCAAGAAAUCAAUGGGUAUAGAGGUGGUGUUUAUCGAAUACCUGAGGGUAAACCGUAACCUCGUAAAAUUCAAGUGAACGAUCCCAAAAGUGUUCUCAGAGCGGUGUUAAACUAUUUGAUUUCACAGUCUCGCUUUGGUGAUCGUAUUCAUGAGCCGCAUGUUGUGAGGAAUGCUUUACGAGCAAUUUCAAAAAAAUUUCCCAAACCAAUUCCACCUUUAGAUUGGUGUUUCCUGCAUAGUUUCUUUCAUUUAAGUUUUGAAACACGAAAAUAUUGUAUAUUAAUUGCAAAAAAUCAAGUUCUGGACUCGGGAACUGCUAAGAGAUUGUUGGAGAAUUUCCUAACUGAAUUUGAACCGAAUUGCUUUGAAAAAGACCUUCUGCUGUUCAGUGUGCUUCCGGAAAUCGCCAAUGGAGUGAGUUUGCAAAUUAUCAAAUAUUUAACAGAGAAGAUAGCUGUUUACUGCUUCAAGGAAUCACAACUCAAUGGAUUUGCUGAAGCCAUUGUGUUCUGAGGUCAUCCGAGUUGGAGAUUUGGCGAUGCGGUCCACUUUAUUGAAAUGUGGGGUUCAAGUCCGAAUAAUUCAAUCAAUUUACAGAACCUGACUUCCCAUAUCUUCAAGUGCUGGUUCCUUUCCAACCCUUGUCCAUGAAGGCAUCCUAUUGUCCCAUCGAUACGUCACUGAACUAUCAACAAGCAAACAAGCUUAUUAAGGAACCAAAACCUAGUGUCUUGGUUAUUCCUGAAAACUAUUAAAAACCGCAUCCAAUUGCUCCACAACUUUAUAUUGAAUAACCGGACAAGAAAAUCAUCACUUCCAAAUGUGGCGAAACCAUUCGAUUGCCACUCAAACGAAAAAUGGAUCGAGUCUAUCUUAAAUCUGAACUAGCAUCAAAAUUGUUCCUCGUGAAACAACUCCCGGUGUGACAAUAUCCACAUUAACUGGAAUUCUUGAAGUCAAAGAUAAAGUAAAUAAUAUUGCUCCAUGUGAUGAUGAAUCGGAUAGUAAAGCAAAUACAAGUGCUGGCACAACUCUACAUCCACCACUCUACAGAAGUUCUAAAGAAAGUUAAAUAUGAAUAUGGAGGAGUAGAUAUAGAUUCCAUAUUGGCGCAAGAUGGAAUAACAGAAAUUAAAACAGAACGAAUUGGAGGUGUAUUAACGAUAAGCGUACCAAGUGAAGAUACGAUAAUUAAAAUUGAUGAAAACUCAACGCAUAUUGUGUGUGGGGGUAAGCAGUCGUUGAGACUGAAAUUGAGAGAUUCCCUAAUGAAAUGUGUGCAGCAGCAAUUUGCACAUUCUCAAAAACCACCCGGCCGAGUGCACCACAUGCAAACCCAAUUUACAUUGGGAAAAAAAACCAACCCCUUUACCCGAAGGUACACCAAUGCAUCCGGAUGUGAUGCGAAUGACUUGGAAUCGACAGCAGAAUAACGAAUCAGAAGGAGAUAUAGACAAAGGAAGGAAUCAACAAAGGAGGGAAUACUAGACAUCCAAAACACAAACAACAGCAGCAACAACAAAUAAAAAGAUUUAUUUUAUUUAAUAUUUAUUUUAAAAUUGUAUUUAUUGUAAUUUUUUAAUCUAAAAAACAUUAAAAUAAAAAAAAAAAAACAAUUUCAGUGAACAA